Molecule: long non-coding RNA, 1865 nt
Organism: Oncorhynchus keta (chum salmon)
Lineage: Eukaryota; Metazoa; Chordata; Actinopteri; Salmoniformes; Salmonidae
Exons: 5
Source: RefSeq, a predicted model, not a curated record
ACUGCUACCUAUUGUAUACAGGUCUGAGACACUGCUACCUAUUGUAUACAGGUCUGAGACACUGCUACCUAUUGUAUUCAGGUCUGAGACACUGCUACCUAUUGUAUUCAGGUCUGAGACACUGUGCUACCUAUUGUAUACAGGUCUGAGACACUGCUACCUAUUGUAUUCAGGUCUGAGACACUGCUACCUAUUGUAUACAGGUCUGAGACACUGCUACCUAUUGUAUACAGGUCUGAGACACUGCUACCUAUUGUAUACAGGUCUGAGACACUGCUACCUAUUGUAUUCAGGUCUGAGACACUGCUACCUAUUGUAUUCAGGUCUGAGACACUGUGCUACCUAUUGUAUACAGGUCUGAGACACUGCUACCUAUUGUAUUCAGGUCUGAGACACUGCUACCUAUUGUAUACAGGUCUGAGACACUGCUACCUAUUGUAUUCAGGUCUGAGACACUGCUACCUAUUGUAUUCAGGUCUGAGACACUGCUACAUAUUGUAUACAGGUCUGAGACACUGCUACCUAUUGUAUACAGGUCUGAGACACUGUGCUACCUAUUGUAUUCAGGUCUGAGACACUGCUACCUAUUGUAUACAGGUCUGAGACACUGUGCUACCUAUUGUAUACAGGUCUGAGACACUGUGCUACCUAUUGUAUUCAGGUCUGAGACACUGCUACCUAUUGUAUACAGGUCUGAGACACUGUGCUACCUAUUGUAUUCAGGUCUGAGACACUGCUACCUAUUGUAUACAGGUCUGAGACACUGCUACCUAUUGUAUACAGGUCUGAGACACUGCUACCUAUUGUAUACAGGUCUGAGACACUGCUACCUAUUGUAUACAGGUCUGAGACACUGCUACCUAUUGUAUACAGGUCUGAGACACUGCUACCUAUUGUAUACAGGUCUGAGACACUGUGCUACCUAUUGUAUUCAGGUCUGAGACACUGCUACCUAUUGUAUACAGGUCUGAGACACUGCUACCUAUUGUAUACAGGUCUGAGACACUGCUACCUAUUGUAUACAGGUCUGAGACACUGCUACCUAUUGUAUACAGGUCUGAGACACUGCUACCUAUUGUAUUCAGGUCUGAGACACUGCUACCUAUUGUGUGGAUAAGGAGCAAGUCACCCUCUGAGUAUCAAAUCCCCUUUUUCAACCUGGCUUAGGUUCUUAUCCCCCUUGCGCUCCUCGGGAUGUUGUAGGAUUUAGAUCCUGGAAGGAGGAAUGAGAUGGGGAGGGGUUGGACGGAGGAAACUGUCCACUGUUAAAUAGCUUCUAUUAUUGGCUGAGAGCACAAAGCCUAUUACCGUUCCAGGAGGAGUUAACCAUUAAGCCCUGGGUAGAAUUUGCCUGUACACACACAUCUAGGAUCAGAUCCCACUUCCCAAAUACGGACUAAACAAUAGUCAGUCAGAUGAAUGCAAAACUGACUUUGGAUCAGCUUUCGAGGGGCAACUUUAUCCUAUCCCAGCAGAGGUUAAUGCUUUCUGGGAGCGGAGAGGGUUGAAUCAUGGAUUUGCUUAAUGUACUUGGGAUUAGAGAUCCUGUUACAUUUACAUGUUGGUCAUUUAGCAGAUGCUCUUAUCAAGAGUAACUUAGUCAGGUUGGCAACACAGCACGCCAUCAUGUUGGCAACACAGCACGCCAUCAGGUUGGCAACACAGCACGCCUGUUUUGUUUUGUUGAGAUUGGGAAUAACUUAAUCCAAAGUGUAGCUUCUUGUAAUAUAAGGUAUCCCGUGUCUGUAGAGCCCAGUGCUAUAAGACUCAGGGUCACUGCAGGGAUUUCACUCCUGUCCCCUCUCCUGCAGUUUCAUCAGUUGUCUUUCUCUUCAUGUAUUUUCAUCGGUUUGGUCUCUCUUUUU